GACGAACGCUGGCGGCGUGCUUAACACAUGCAAGUCGAACGGAAAGGCCCUGCUUUUGUGGGGUGCUCGAGUGGCGAACGGGUGAGUAACACGUGAGUAACCUGCCCAUGACUUUGGGAUAACUUCAGGAAACUGGGGCUAAUACCGGAUAGGAGCUCCUGCUGCAUGGUGGGGGUUGGAAAGUUUCGGCGGUUGGGGAUGGACUCGCGGCUUAUCCGCUUGUUGGUGGGGUAGUGGCUUACCAAGGCUUUGACGGGUAGCCGGCCUGAGAGGGUGACCGGCCACAUUGGGACUGAGAUACGGACCAGACUCCUACGGGAGGCAGCAGUGGGGAAUAUUGCACAAUGGGCGGAAGCCUGAUGCAGCAACGCCGCGUGCGGGAUGACGGCCUUCGGGUUGUAAACCGCUUUCGCCUGUGACGAAGCGUGAGUGACGGUAAUGGGUAAAGAAGCACCGGCUAACUACGUG
RNAcentral lists this ribosomal RNA (468 nucleotides) under uncultured bacterium. Its description in RNAcentral is "partial 16S ribosomal RNA". It matches the Rfam family "Bacterial small subunit ribosomal RNA", at positions 28 to 507 of the family's 1533-position model. The record is from RNAcentral.